GUAGGUGGCAAGCGUUGUCCGGAAUUAUUGGGCGUAAAGCGCGCGCAGGCGGUUCUUUAAGUCUGAUGUGAAAGCCCACGGCUCAACCGUGGAGGGUCAUUGGAAACUGGAGAACUUGAGUACAGAAGAGGAAAGCGGAAUUCCACGUGUAGCGGUGAAAUGCGUAGAGAUGUGGAGGAACACCAGUGGCGAAGGCGGCUUUCUGGGCUGUAACUGACGCUGAGGCGCGAAAGCGUGGGGAGCAAACAGGAUUAGAUACCCUGGUAGUCCACGCCGUAAACGAUGAGUGCUAAGUGUUAGGGGGUUUCCGCCCCCCUUAGUGCUGCAGCUAACGCAUUAAGCACUCCGCCUGGGAGUACGGCCGCAAGGCUG
This 372-nucleotide ribosomal RNA is filed under the name uncultured organism. RNAcentral's name for it is "partial 16S ribosomal RNA". It matches the Rfam family "Bacterial small subunit ribosomal RNA", at positions 527 to 896 of the family's 1533-position model. The record is from RNAcentral.